AUGGGCUUGUUUUUUUAAUGGCAAAAGCUAGCCAUGUGGGCAAAGAAAGUGCCUUGUCUUGACUGCUGACAGUAUGCUGAACAAAUUGGACAAGCAGGACACAAAAGUAAAGACUAGCAAACUAUAACAAGACAAGAUCCUUGGUUACCUGGUCUGUGGCCAGUCUGGACACUUACCAAUCAUCUAAGAUGGAUUACUUCAGCACUCAUAGCUAAUGUCAACUACUUCCAACAGGAAAGCUUUCACCCUCCUUCGUGCCUCUCCGCUUCUGUGCUGUGGCUACACCGGCUUUCAAGUUGGCCAAUGAACUCAAUUAUUGCACAGGUCUUCUUCAUUUGUACAUUCCCAAUAAAAGCCAGAGGGAUUGAAGGACA
Non-coding RNA from Peromyscus maniculatus bairdii (prairie deer mouse), 374 nucleotides. The record is from RefSeq and is a predicted model, not a curated record. Lineage: Eukaryota; Metazoa; Chordata; Mammalia; Rodentia; Cricetidae.